This 2208-nucleotide unclassified non-coding RNA is filed under the name Leishmania donovani. RNAcentral describes it as "gene:LdHU3.33.2900(CDS-product:hypothetical_prote in_conserved)". The record is from RNAcentral. Lineage: Eukaryota; Euglenozoa; Kinetoplastea; Trypanosomatida; Trypanosomatidae.
CAACGCUCGUCUUCUCCACACAAAGAGGCGAAGGAGUAAAAGGACGGAGCCGACUAGACCAACGCGCCCGCGUCUUUCCACAAGAACUGACCCGUAACGCACUUCAUUAAGCGCCGCGGAUAAUGGCGACUCUCAAGGACGGCCGCUUUCUGUUCAUCCAUGCGGAUCGACACAAUCUACUCCUGGAGCAACCCGUGAAGGCGGUGGCUGUUUCUCCAUCGUCGAACACGACCGCGACAGCCGCAGCUGCCAAAGGCGGCGCGGCGGCGGCAUCGUUACCUGCCUCUUCUGCCACUUUCCAACUUUUAUACGGCGGAGUUGUGCACGCCUUCGCGUUGAAUGCCACGCAGUCCCACAUUGCGAUGGUUUGCCCAGCCGGUAGUGCGGCAGCCGCGUCGGCCGCGGCCGGCCAUCUUCGCGGCGACGGCCCAAGCACGGUGCUGCGACUCUUCUCCUUUACCCGUGGCGAGGUGGGCGAGCUGAUCGACGAGCUUGUGACCGCAGAGGCGUGCGGUGUGGUAUGGGUAGGAAAUCGACACCUCGCGCUGGACGUGCGCCGAUCCAGUGAAUGCGUCCAUAGCGAGGCACCCCCUUCGUCCUCAUCCUCUUCACUGUCGUCGGCUCCUGCGACGUCUACCAUCUUGAUUGAAGUCACCAAAACACCGGAGAAGUUGAAAUAUGUGCGGCAGGACCAGGCGGCGGCAUCGCCGGUGUCUGUCCUGGGGUCCGUUCUCUGCGAAAUACGCGUCGUCAAGCAGAGCCUUCGCUUCUGGGACUUGCAGAGGGAAAAGGUGAUGCACGAGUGCGUAUUGCCGAACCGCCGUCUCCGUCAGGGUAAGACCCGCGUGGCGGCCGCAGCGUGCAGCGACGGUCCGUUUGUGCUAGUGGUGAACGAUGACUGGACGGUGCAUGGCUUUCACGUGAGCAGGCGCUCCGUGCGAGAGCUGAAGCCGAUGCUGUCACAGUUCGAGUCGCAAUCAGUCAACGUCACCAACAACCGCGGCGGAAACGCGAAGGUGAGCGAGGCGAACAGCGAGGGCCAGGAGGUGGCGGUGGCAGGAGAAGGGGAGGAGCCUCCUAUGUCGCCCCAGCCUGCCAAGAGCUCGGCACUCUCCCACAAACUCGCGCGCCCUCGCCUCUUCGCCCGUGCAAUCAGCGACACGCAAGUGCUUCUGGCCCUCCAGGGAUCCUCAACUAUUUUGCAGUGCGCCUGCGAGCCGAAAGGCAGCCGCGAUGAGGAAUGGACUGUGGUCGCCAAGAUGCGUUUGCCGCGGCGACUGCAGGCGACGUGCGAGGUGGUCGGACUCUCCCCUCGAGGGUGCCUCGUCCGUCAGUACGAACUAGCGGAGCGCAGCGCGCAGAGCUCGACAGCGGCCGCUCCGUCAGACACACGGACGGGGGCGUCUGCGAACGGCCAGAAGACCGUCGCCUACUUUGUGGUACCCCUGGAAAUGAAAGCGACUGGCAAGGCCUCCGUGGAGGUGGCCGUGGGCCCACCGGCGGUGACUGCUGUUCAUGGCAGCUCAGUUACUACGGAAAGCAGCGCCGCGGCGCCGAGGGAGAGCACUGCAAGUGCAAAGAACGUGGAGACGUCGGCGACAUCGGAGGUGGCCUCAGAGACGUCGCGGUCGGAGGGGAAGCGAAAGCGCAAGAAGAAGUCGGCCGCCGCAGUGAACGGCGACGCAUCGGCGUCUGCAACGUCUCCGGCAGCCACAUCUACAAGCACCGGUGGCACAGCGAAUGAGCAGGGUGACGGUAGUGACCACGGCAACGCAGACAGUCCCUUGCAAUGCGCCGUUAGAAGGCUGCUUGUGCAUACUGGCAUCGCCGGAAAGGGCCAGUUACACGGCACCUUUGCAAAAGAAUCUGCAGAGAAUGCUGCAGACGCCGACGCCGCGGCUGCCGCUGCGCCUCCGGAACGCGGACGCGAAUGGUACUCUGCUGAUGUGCUGAUGAGCGCGGGAGGUGUGCUAGUGGGCGUUGUGUUGGGUGUGGUGCUAAUGCGUCGCUUCUCACUCCUAUAGCUGCCGCUUAGGAGAGAGAUGGCAAAGUCUGCCGGCGACAAGGGUUGCGUGCCGUGAGGGGCUGUGAACCACGGCGAACCUGCGCGAGGGGUGUGCGCGCACUUACAGACUGCUUCAAGUGCGUGUUUGCCUUUUGAUGACCGCGCCCCACGGCCGCGUGUGGAAGACGCUGACGCCUAAAGAU